AUACGUAGGGGGCGAGCGUUGUCCGGAAUGAUUGGGCGUAAAGGGCGCGUAGGCGGCCUGUUAAGUCUGGAGUGAAAGUCCUGUUUUCAAGAUGGGAAUUGCUUUGGAUACUGAUGGGCUUGAGUGCAGGAGAGGUUAUCGGAAUUCCCGGUGUAGCGGUGAAAUGCGUAGAGAUCGGGAGGAACACCAGUGGCGAAGGCGGGUAACUGGACUGCAACUGACGCUGAGGCGCGAAAGUGUGGGGAGCAAACAGGAUUAGAUACCCUGGUAGUCCACACUGUAAACGAUGAAUGCUAGGUGUAAGAGGUAUCGACCCCUUUUGUGCCGGAGUUAACACAAUAAGCAUUCCGCCUGGGGAGUACGGCCGCAAGGUUGAAACUCAAAUGAAUUGACGGUG
RNAcentral lists this ribosomal RNA (397 nucleotides) under uncultured bacterium. RNAcentral describes it as "partial 16S ribosomal RNA". It matches the Rfam family "Bacterial small subunit ribosomal RNA", at positions 523 to 918 of the family's 1533-position model. The record is from RNAcentral.